This 402-nucleotide ribosomal RNA is filed under the name uncultured bacterium. RNAcentral's name for it is "bacterial SSU rRNA". It matches the Rfam family "Bacterial small subunit ribosomal RNA", at positions 357 to 776 of the family's 1533-position model. The record is from RNAcentral.
GGGAAUAUUGCACAAUGGGGGAAACCCUGAUGCAGCAACGCCGCGUGAAGGAAGAAGGCCUUUGGGUCGUAAACUUCUGUCCUAAGGGAAGAUAAUGACGGUACCUUUGGAGGAAGCCCCGGCCAACUACGUGCCAGCAGCCGCGGUAAUACGUAGGGAGCGAGCGUUGUCCGGAAUUACUGGGUGUAAAGGGAGCGUAGGCGGGAUUGCAAGUCAGAUGUGAAAUACGUGGGCUUAACCCACGGGCUGCAUUUGAAACUGUAGUUCUUGAGUGAAGUAGAGGCAAGCGGAAUUCCUGGUGUAGCGGUGAAAUGCGUAGAUAUCAGGAGGAACACCGGUGGCGAAGGCGGCUUGCUGGGCUUUUACUGACGCUGAGGCUCGAAAGCGUGGGGAGCAAACAGG